Molecule: ribosomal RNA, 252 nt
Filed under: uncultured bacterium
Lineage: Bacteria
Description: partial 16S ribosomal RNA
Rfam family: Bacterial small subunit ribosomal RNA
Source: RNAcentral
GACGGGGGGGGGCAAUUGUUCUUCGGAAUGACUGGGCGUAAAGGGCACGUAGGCGGUGAAUCGGGUUGAAAGUGAAAGUCGCCAAAAAGUGGCGGAAUGCUCUCGAAACCAAUUCACUUGAGUGAGACAGAGGAGAGUGGAAUUCCUGGUGUAGCGGUGAAAUGCGCAGAUAUCAGGAAGAACACCCGUGGCGAAGGCGGCUCUCUGGGACGGUACUGACGCUGAGACGCGAAAGCGUGGGGAGCGAACAGG